RNAcentral lists this ribosomal RNA (340 nucleotides) under uncultured actinobacterium WB029. Its description in RNAcentral is "bacterial SSU rRNA". It matches the Rfam family "Bacterial small subunit ribosomal RNA", at positions 121 to 478 of the family's 1533-position model. The record is from RNAcentral. Lineage: Bacteria; Bacillati; Actinomycetota; Actinomycetes.
GCAACCUGCCCCGAAGAUUGGGAUAACACCGGGAAACCGGUGCUAAUACCGGAUGUCCCCACCGGACCGCAUGAUCUGGUGAGGAAAUGGAUUCCGCUUCGGGAGGGGCUCGCGGCCUAUCAGCUUGUUGGUGAGGUAACGGCUCACCAAGGCUUCGACGGGUAGCUGGUCUGAGAGGACGAUCAGCCACACUGGGACUGAGACACGGCCCAGACUCCUACGGGAGGCAGCAGUAGGGAAUCUUGCGCAAUGGGCGAAAGCCUGACGCAGCAACGCCGCGUGGAGGACGAAUGCUUUCUGAGUUGUAAACUCCUUUCAGCAGGGACGAUUGUGACGGUAC